GCAAGUCUACAAGAAAAUAACUUCGGUUAUAAGUAAAGUGGCGGACGGGUGAGUAACGCGUGAGAAACGUACCCAUAAGUAUGGGAUAACUGUUCGAAAGGACAGCUAAUACCGUAUAAGUUGUUUUAUCACAUGGUAGAAUAAUGAAAACUUCGGUGCUUAUGGAGCGUCUCGCGUACCAUUAGCUAGUUGGUAGGGUAAUGGCCUACCAAGGCGACGAUGGUUAACCGGCCUGAGAGGGUGAAC
RNAcentral lists this ribosomal RNA (246 nucleotides) under uncultured bacterium. RNAcentral describes it as "partial 16S ribosomal RNA". It matches the Rfam family "Bacterial small subunit ribosomal RNA", at positions 57 to 305 of the family's 1533-position model. The record is from RNAcentral.